GGAAGGCUGGCAGAGGGGUUUAUUGCACUUGUUUCGAAAACAAGUAAUUUAAUACACAAAAUUCGUGGGUUCGAACCCCACGCCUUCCA
RNAcentral lists this transfer RNA (89 nucleotides) under Gossypium arboreum. It matches the Rfam family "tRNA". From Rfam's summary of the family: Transfer RNA (tRNA) molecules are approximately 80 nucleotides in length. Lineage: Eukaryota; Viridiplantae; Streptophyta; Magnoliopsida; Malvales; Malvaceae. The record is from Rfam by way of RNAcentral. RNAcentral also lists the same sequence under 3 other names.